AGAGGUGUUGAUGGACAUC
This 19-nucleotide microRNA is filed under the name Schistosoma mansoni. RNAcentral describes it as "sma-miR-219-3p". Its record names the gene sma-miR-219-3p. Lineage: Eukaryota; Metazoa; Platyhelminthes; Trematoda; Strigeidida; Schistosomatidae. The record is from miRBase by way of RNAcentral.